This 87-nucleotide transfer RNA is filed under the name Paramuricea clavata. It matches the Rfam family "tRNA". From Rfam's summary of the family: Transfer RNA (tRNA) molecules are approximately 80 nucleotides in length. Their secondary structure includes four short double-helical elements and three loops (D, anti-codon, and T loops). Further hydrogen bonds mediate the characteristic L-shaped molecular structure. tRNAs have two regions of fundamental functional importance: the anti-codon, which is responsible for specific mRNA codon recognition, and the 3' end, to which the tRNAs corresponding amino acid is attached (by aminoacyl-tRNA synthetases). tRNAs cope with the degeneracy of the genetic code in two manners: having more than one tRNA (with a specific anti-codon) for a particular amino acid; and 'wobble' base-pairing, i.e. permitting non-standard base-pairing at the 3rd anti-codon position. Lineage: Eukaryota; Metazoa; Cnidaria; Anthozoa; Malacalcyonacea; Plexauridae. The record is from Rfam by way of RNAcentral.
GGUAGCGUGGCCGAGUGGUCUAAAGCGCUGGUUUUAGACACCAGUCAUUUCGAUGACGUGUCUUCGAAUCGAAUCCCACCGCUGCCA